Molecule: ribosomal RNA, 1431 nt
Filed under: uncultured organism
Description: 16S ribosomal RNA
Rfam family: Bacterial small subunit ribosomal RNA
Source: RNAcentral
CAGGCUUAACACAUGCAAGUCGAGGGGCAGCAUGGUCUUAGCUUGCUAAGGCCGAUGGCGACCGGCGCACGGGUGAGUAACACGUAUCCAACCUGCCGUCUACUCUUGGACAGCCUUCUGAAAGGAAGAUUAAUACAAGAUGGCAUCAUGAGUCCGCAUGUUCACAUGAUUAAAGGUAUUCCGGUAGACGAUGGGGAUGCGUUCCAUUAGAUAGUAGGCGGGGUAACGGCCCACCUAGUCUUCGAUGGAUAGGGGUUCUGAGAGGAAGGUCCCCCACAUUGGAACUGAGACACGGUCCAAACUCCUACGGGAGGCAGCAGUGAGGAAUAUUGGUCAAUGGGCGAGAGCCUGAACCAGCCAAGUAGCGUGAAGGAUGACUGCCUUAUGGGUUGUAAACUUCUUUUAUAAAGGAAUAAAGUCGGGUAUGGAUACCCGUUUGCAUGUACUUUAUGAAUAAGGAUCGGCUAACUCCGUGCCAGCAGCCGCGGUAAUACGGAGGAUUCGAGCGUUAUCCGGAUUUAUUGGGUUUAAAGGGAGCGUAGAUGGAUGUUUAAGUCAGUUGUGAAAGUUUGCGGCUCAACCGUAAAAUUGCAGUUGAUACUGGAUAUCUUGAGUGCAGUUGAGGCAGGCGGAAUUCGUGGUGUAGCGGUGAAAUGCUUAGAUAUCACGAAGAACUCCGAUUGCGAAGGCAGCCUGCUAAGCUGCAACUGACAUUGAGGCUCGAAAGUGUGGGUAUCAAACAGGAUUAGAUACCCUGGUAGUCCACACGGUAAACGAUGAAUACUCGCUGUUUGCGAUAUACGGCAAGCGGCCAAGCGAAAGCGUUAAGUAUUCCACCUGGGGAGUACGCCGGCAACGGUGAAACUCAAAGGAAUUGACGGGGGCCCGCACAAGCGGAGGAACAUGUGGUUUAAUUCGAUGAUACGCGAGGAACCUUACCCGGGCCUAAAUUGCAGAUGAAUUACGGUGAAAGCCGUAAGCCGCAAGGCAUCUGUGAAGGUGCUGCAUGGUUGUCGUCAGCUCGUGCCGUGAGGUGUCGGCUUAAGUGCCAUAACGAGCGCAACCCUUGUUGUCAGUUACUAACAGGUUCUGCUGAGGACUCUGACAAGACUGCCAUCGUAAGAUGUGAGGAAGGUGGGGAUGACGUCAAAUCAGCACGGCCCUUACGUCCGGGGCUACACACGUGUUACAAUGGGGGGUACAGAGGGCCGCUACCACGCGAGUGGAUGCCAAUCCCAAAAACCUCUCUCAGUUCGGACUGGAGUCUGCAGCCCGACUCCACGAAGCUGGAUUCGCUAGUAAUCGCGCAUCAGCCACGGCGCGGUGAAUACGUUCCCGGGCCUUGUACACACCGCCCGUCAAGCCAUGGGAGCCGGGGGUACCUGAAGUGCGUAACCGCGAGGAGCGCCCUAGGGUAAAACUGGUGACUGG